This 253-nucleotide ribosomal RNA is filed under the name uncultured bacterium. RNAcentral's name for it is "partial 16S ribosomal RNA". It matches the Rfam family "Bacterial small subunit ribosomal RNA", at positions 524 to 776 of the family's 1533-position model. The record is from RNAcentral.
UACGGAGGGGACUAGCGUUGUUCGGAAUUACUGGGCGUAAAGCGUGCGCAGGCGGUGAUGUAAGACAGAUGUGAAAUCCCCGGGCUCAACCUGGGACCUGCAUUUGUGACUGCAUCGCUAGAGUACGGUAGAGGGGGAUGGAAUUCCGCGUGUAGCAGUGAAAUGCGUAGAUAUGUGGAGGAACACCAAUGGCGAAGGCAGCCCCCUGGGAUGACACUGACGCUCAUGCACGAAAGCGUGGGGAGCAAACAGG